AGCGUAAUAAUUUGCCCUUUAAUUGUGGGCUUGUAUGAAGGGAUAAACGUAAAUCUUACUGUCUCUUUUAUACACAUAAAAAUUAACCUUUAGGGUGCAAAGACCUAAAUAAUAUUUUAGGACAAAAAGACCCUAUAGAGCUCUGUUUAAAUUUAUAUAUAAAUUUUAUUAAUCUAAUUAUCUAUAAACCAAACUUAAACUUAGCUGGGGCGGCUAAGGAACAAAAAACUUCCUUAUAAAACACUGUAAACAAAUCGACCCUAAAUUUAGAAAUUUAGAUCAAUGAAUAAGCUACCUUAGGGAUAACAGAUUAAUCCUCUUUGAGAGUACACAUUGAAAAGAGGGCUUGACACCUCGAUGUUGGCUUAAGAUUCCCUUAAGAUCAGUAUCAGUCUUAAAGGUAGGUUUGUUCAACCUUUAAAA
This 423-nucleotide ribosomal RNA is filed under the name Octobranchus sp. 344 PB. RNAcentral's name for it is "partial 16S ribosomal RNA". It matches the Rfam family "Bacterial large subunit ribosomal RNA", at positions 1958 to 2593 of the family's 2925-position model. Lineage: Eukaryota; Metazoa; Annelida; Polychaeta; Terebellida; Trichobranchidae. The record is from RNAcentral.